CCCCCGACCUUGCCCACGCGCAUACACAGCACGCGGCAAAGCAGGCACAGCCGGCGCAGCGGGGAGGUGCACGGGCCAGCCCCGAGUCCAGCUUUCCCUCCAGGGGGCGGGGCACCGAGGGGCGUGGCAAACGGGAGGCCCUGUUUUGCCAUUGGUGGCGGCGGGGCCACGUGGAGGCCCACGUGAGCAGUCGGCCCUCGGGCCCACGGGCCGUGGGCAGGCGCGCGCGGGCGCUCGGCUGGGUUGGGGCGAGGGCGGAAGGUGGUAGAGGGGUGAAGGCGGAGGAGGGAGUGCCUGCGGACAGGCAACACAUGCCUGGCGCGGUGCCGUGCAGCUGGCGGCGGGUGGGGCCGCCGGGCGGGCCGCAGCUCUCUCCGGUCGACGGAGGCUGCUGACGGGAAAACGAUCCAGGUGGGGAGCGCCCCGGCCCUAGGCCCUUUCCCGUGAAAGUCAGCGGGAGCCUAGGGCCAGGUAACCCAGGUAGGGACUCUGGGCCGUGUUACAAACGGACGUUGAGGAUCGCAAAGAUCAGCCUUCUAGCCCUCUCUCUGCCUAUUACGGGCUCUGUGACCAAUGGCAAAUCACUUUACCCGCGCCUCAGUUUCCCCACUCUUCUAGAGGGCUUGCGACCUGCGAGUGGCCAAGAAGAAAAGAAAGCUCACGUCACAAGCACUACCUGCCUAGUUCAACUGAAGAGGCUGUUCUAAGAAAGACGACUGAAGUAAUCAGUCACCUUCCUCAGAGAAAGUCCGCUCAGCAAAGCACAGCCCGGUCCACUCCUCCGGAAGCAGCGGCCUAUCUCCUGACACUCAGGCUGUGGCGGGAGGAGGUUCUCCCCAGCCGGCCCAGUUGUCAGUUAAGCGCGCCCUCCUGGAGAAGAGAAGGGGCCAGAGUAGCUCCAGGGAGCGGGGGAUGCUGAAAUAUGGAUGAAGAAUAUUCCGCCUGACCACCCGGCCAUUCACUCAAACACACGCCUCUGAAAAUAGAACUUAUUUUUCAAGGUAGAAUUCCAAGAUACCGAAGGGAAAUCUAUUUCAUUAACAAAAUAGAUGCUAUUUAUUAAAUUAUAGUUUGGUCUUCUUUACUGACCUUCCUUCUUAAUAUUUCUGGAGUUUUUAACUUUCAAGAAUAACUUAGUCUGCUUAACAGAUUAAGCACUGGCUUUUCUCCUGAGCUAGACUGUCACAGAAAAUUGGGCUGCUGAAUCGUCGCUGGGAAUCCUGUAUUUAAUCUUUUAUGUACAACUUGCCCACUGUGCAAUAUUUAAAUUCCUUCAGGCAAAGAUACAACUAAUUUACCACUUAUCCAGGUUAAAUAUAUCUGAUUGUAUGGCCUAUCAAAUCAUCGUCUAUGGACUAACACAUUCUCAUUUCAGUCAGCAGGAGAGAGAAGUCAAAGAAUGUUAAAUUAUUUAAGAAGAGCAUGUGGUACAUCAAUUAUCGUGAAAAUUUAAAUGUAGUUCAGGGCUAAUAAAACUUUGCUUCUCAUAAAGGCUGCCACUAAAACUCUGCAUGGUAGCCCCAAACAUCCAGUUGCUAUGGAGAGAGGAAGCUCAGGGGUUUUUCUCCUGCCCUGAGCUGCCGGGGCUAAGUGAGGUCACUCUGUAGUCACAUUUCUCUGUAAGUACAGCCCUGUCUGGGGCCUGAGUCAACGAAUCUGAGGCUGCCUCUCCCAUCCAAACGGCACUGUCCGUUCUGCAUGGAGGUACGGGGGUGCUGGGCUCCCCCCACGCAGUGCCAGCGACAGCACCCGCUUCGGCCAUGUGCACAGAACCCGGGGCAAUCAUGACAGCAUCUCAUACACAGACCCGGGGGCCACUCCCCACGUCACCCCAACUCCUGGUCGUGGGUAAUGACUGUGAGUGGAGGACGCAGCUGAACACAUGGGUCCGAGUCCCCGGUAUUGAGGCCUGUUCGAUGGAGAAAGAGUGAGAAUGUCAACUUUGUCCUGCUCCAACAUUUAAGAGCACUUAAAACAUUUAAAUUUAAGAGCAAGGAAGAAGCAGGAAUUUUCCAUGGGAGGAACGUCUUGGCGUCAAGAUGCCCAUUCUGACUUUUCUUAGCAACAGCGUGCCAGCAGCCAAGGCAUCUUACACAGCCGUGAAGUGCAGGACACGAUGCUUGCGUCAGCUCUCUGCUGGCAGGGCUCUGGUGCCCUGCCGACUGCUCUGUGUGUCCGUCUGGCCCUGCUGGCAUCCACUCCCUGCCUCCUCAAGGGCCCACCAGCCCCACCCCGGUCCCCCACAUUUACCUUGGUCCCAUCACCCAGUGGACACGGGAAGUGCUGUUAACCCCCAUUUCCGGACAGCAACCCAGGUCAGGGAAGCCCCAUGACUUCCUGGGGCUACGUGGCUCGGAAGAAGCAGAGCCGAGACUCACAUCCUGGAUUCUCUGCCUUCGAAUCCAAUGCUUAGGGAGCAAGGACUUCAUGGUAGGCAUGAGCCUGGCCUUGGCUUUGCCGGGAAUAGUGCAUCUCUAAUGGAAGGAGAGAGGGCAUGACCAGAAGGAGAGAGAAGAGAAUAUACAAUCUUCUAUCAUGUUUCGAUGAAAAUUAAGUGUGGCUGAACAUCUGGCUGCCAAGUUCUCUGCUGCCAUCUCUGGCAAGAAGCGCACCGUCUCCAUGUUUUUUUUUGAGAUGAAAAUCUAUUUACCAUCCCUGACACCACGGUCUGCAGGGAGUUGUUUCCCGGGCAGCUGUGAAGCUCCUCCUCUACCUCCAAGUGACCAGCCGGGGCCUCUUCUGUUUGCUUCUUCUGGGUUGUCUAUGGGCAGCUGUUACUUCACGGUUCUUAAUGAGUCUCCAGGAUCUUAAUUCAUGAGCUCAGGGAGAGCUUAAAACCCCCAGCCUCUGGCCACUAGGCAAGAGGUGGUUUUCCUGAGAAACCCAAGUCCCAAAAAAGCCUGUCGUGAUUUCUUUUGGGACGUGAAGUAAGCAAAAGGGUAGCUGACUUUUCCUUCCCUCUCUGACGCUGUUAGCUGCCCCCCUCUCCUUGAUCCUGGAGUAAUAGAGUCGGCUUCUCAAAGACAUCACCAGCCUUCUCCUCCCAGAAGCGGUGAGCAGGAGGCCUGCCUCCUCAGGAGGAAUGUUGAGAGGAACUCGUCUCUGGGCCGUGGCUGCCUCCACAGGGUAUGACCGAAUGGGUCUGCCACGGACAUGUGGCCUGCUCCCCCGCAGCUCUGAGCUCCCCUGGGCUUCCAGCUGAACAGCCCCCGUCUACCCUCCUGUGGCGAGUGCUCUCCAGGGAGUGGCCGGCAGGGACUCAUGUGACCACUGAAAAUGGUGUUGGCCAAAGGCACAGCCUUUCAGCCGGUGCAUCUAACCCUUCCCUGAGCCCUCACUAAGGGCAUGAAAUAUCUGGUUCCUCAGCAACUUUGACACUCAGAGUUAAGAAUUUUUUGAUGCUACAUAUUUUUAGGCCUUUUGACAAGAAGUUCUGGUACAAUUUAAGAAUGAUGUGGAUGAGGAAAGCACACUGAAUGCUGGGUUUUUCAAAGCGUCGCCAAGCAAUGGGCUCUAAGCAGGCUCGGUGGGAGGCUGGGGGGUGACUUCUGGCCCUUAAUCCUCACCAGGUGACUGCUCACAAGGCUCCUUUAAGUCUUCACGAUUGACGAUUGAGACAGAAACCUUAAAGUGCGCCAGAGUUUUCUGUGACGGUUAAGUAAGGUGAUUAACAGAAAGCUUUAAAACUGGCCCCUGAAGAUUUAAAGACAGGGCACAAAUACUUUCGAGAGAAGCAAACAAAGUGAAGGAGAAAAAGAAUGUGUGACAAGGGUAAAAACUAGAGGUCCUCUCCUCUACCCAUUACAGGACUUAAUGCGAAUUAAGGUAUUUGUGUGUGCAUGCAGACGGGUCGCUGUCCCAUGAAUGCUGACCAAGUAUCUUCAUUUGGCAAUAUCAACAAUCGGAGGAAAAGAUGGGCUAGGAGAACUUUUCAGUUAAUGUGUCCUGACCCUGGAGACCUAGCCGAAAAUCUGCCCUGGCAACCAACAGAAUUCCUAAUUAACAACAGAUCUGCUCCCACCUGGCGCGGUGCCACCAGCCGCCUCCCUGUCUGCUCCCUCCCUGCGGCUGUGGUGCAGUCCCUGUCACUAACCCUGAUCCUGGCUUUCAUCUGUUAGGGAGCACACCCAGCAGCCACAUUUGGGAACUCCUGCCUUUUUUCCCUCUCGGCUGAUUUUUUUUCUCUUCUCCUUCCGCUAAUCUAUGACUCUCUCUCUUUCAACACCCCUUUAAAAGUCAUCUCUGGGAGCGCCUGGGUGGCUCAGUCGUUAAGCGUCUGCUUUCGGCUCGGGUCAUGGUCUCAGGGUCCUGGGAUCGGCCCGCGUCAGGCUCCCUGCUCAGCAGGAAGCCUGCUUCUCCCUCUCCCACUCCCCCUGCUUGUGUUCCCUCUCUCGCUGUGUCUCUCUCUGUCAAAUAAAUAAAUACAAUCUUUAAGAAAAAAAAUAAUAAAAGUCAUCUCUGCUGUAAAACCUCAUCCAUUUCUCUCUACCCUCUAAGUUCUUUCUGAAUGGUUCCCCACUAAGGGUAAUUUUAUCAAACACAGUACUAGAUGUGAAAGAGCUUUACAAGCCAUAGAGUGCUAAAUACUUAGAGAUUAUUAAGAAUCCCUCUCCUCGGCACUCACAUCACCAGUUCAGAGGAUCAUUUCUUCAAUCAGCAUUGUUUUGUCUCCUCUGUUGGAUGCUUCCUACUCCAAGCAUGACCCACCAGCCUGCAGCUUCAGCGUCCCCCCACCUGCCGGAAGUGCACCCUCUCAAGUCCUGACGGUGCCCCCUGAAUCCGAAUCCAAACCCUCACCACAUCUCCAGGUGAGUUCUAUGUAUGUUAAAAUUUGAGGAGCAUGGAAUUCGACGUUAAGGACCUCAAAGGUACACAUGGCACAGAAUCGCCCGAAAGCCCUCCGGAACCUGCAGAGGCCUCCAAGCUGGUGUUCUAUGGGGGUGGGGGUGGGGUGCUCAAGAAUAUUGCCAUGUGACUGCUGGCCUGCCAGCAAUAAAACUAAAAGCCUGCCUGAGUCUGCCGCAUAUGAAUGAUGCUAUUUACAGGAACAGACAUCACCUGAGAUUUCCUUAUAGUAAAAGCUUUAAAAUCACAUCUGCAUAAAAAACACAGACGGGUCCGUUUAGGAUAACUCAUUAUCAGGCUGAGUGCUUAAGUCCUUGGCAACUGGAAGGAGAGUCAGUGAACUGUAGCCCCCUCUCCCCAGAGCGAGCUCGUGUAAAUCACAGAGGCUCCCUAGACUUCACAGUUCAGGCCCCGUCGCUUUACCAAUGCCCCUGAACAUUUUAAUGAAGUUCAGAAACCACAGGUAUGAAAGGACAGCUGCCCUGGGAGCCCCACAGCACACGUUUGGUACCUCUGCAAAGUCCUGACCGAGAGGAGUGCUCUGGAAACCCGGGGCAGCUUCCCCUCUUCCCAGGACACGGCGGUCACGCUCCCCAACAGCAAGAAGAUUAAUUCGGGACUCCAAUUCCUCCAUUAUAUGAUCCCUUCCUAAUGAUUAGCAAUGCAUCUCCCAGAAAGGCUAGACUGAGGCCAAACAAAUGAGCAAAUAAACCAGGCUGAAUGAAUUCCAUCAACUGAUCAUUAUUUAAAGUUAUCUCUUAGGGACCAGGUCUUAUUUAAGGAGAA
This is a long non-coding RNA of Mirounga angustirostris (Northern elephant seal), 5631 nucleotides long. RefSeq lists it as uncharacterized. The record is from RefSeq and is a predicted model, not a curated record. The transcript is spliced from 3 exons. Lineage: Eukaryota; Metazoa; Chordata; Mammalia; Carnivora; Phocidae.